UAUACUUCCGCUCCCACACUCGACCCGCUUUCACUAUUUUUUGCUUCGAAAAAACUGUACUGCUCGUUCGCCGGUGCUCCUCGUCGGAAUCCGUUUGAUUUGCUGCCGGUAUCUGGGUCUCUAUUGAAGACUAGCAUAUAAUCCAAUGGGUGAUAGUCAAUACUCUUUCUCACUUACUACUUUCAGUCCAUCUGGAAAGCUGGUUCAGAUUGAACAUGCCUUGACAGCAGUUGGAUCGGGUCAAACAUCACUGGGGAUCAAAGCCGCUAAUGGUGUUGUAAUUGCAACUGAGAAGAAACUACCAUCCAUUCUGGUUGAUGAAACAUCUGUGCAAAAGAUUCAGACUCUGACACCAAAUAUUGGAGUAGUUUACAGCGGCAUGGGCCCUGAUUCUCGAGUUUUGGUGCGAAAAAGUAGAAAGCAGGCUGAGCAAUAUUAUCGACUCUAUAAAGAACCUAUACCUGUCACACAACUGGUGAGG
Molecule: unclassified non-coding RNA, 481 nt
Filed under: Hevea brasiliensis (rubber tree)
Lineage: Eukaryota; Viridiplantae; Streptophyta; Magnoliopsida; Malpighiales; Euphorbiaceae
Source: RNAcentral